GGAUCCUUAGCUCAGUGGUAGAGCACUACCUUGACACGGUAGGGGUCGCUGGUUCGAUCCCAGCAGGGUCCACCA
This 75-nucleotide transfer RNA is filed under the name Myxococcaceae bacterium. Its description in RNAcentral is "tRNA-Val". It matches the Rfam family "tRNA". Rfam says of the family: Transfer RNA (tRNA) molecules are approximately 80 nucleotides in length. Their secondary structure includes four short double-helical elements and three loops (D, anti-codon, and T loops). The record is from RNAcentral. Lineage: Bacteria; Pseudomonadati; Myxococcota; Myxococcia; Myxococcales; Myxococcaceae.